This 210-nucleotide ribosomal RNA is filed under the name Burkholderia cenocepacia. RNAcentral's name for it is "partial 23S ribosomal RNA". It matches the Rfam family "Bacterial large subunit ribosomal RNA", at positions 2727 to 2925 of the family's 2925-position model. Lineage: Bacteria; Pseudomonadati; Pseudomonadota; Betaproteobacteria; Burkholderiales; Burkholderiaceae. The record is from RNAcentral. RNAcentral also lists the same sequence under 1 other name.
CGCCAGUGGCAUCGCCGGGUAGCUAUGUUCGGAAGAGAUAACCGCUGAAAGCAUCUAAGCGGGAAACUCGCCUUAAGAUGAGAUAUCCCUGGGGACUAGAUCCCCUUGAAGGGUCGUUCGAGACCAGGACGUUGAUAGGUCAGGUGUGUAAGCGCAGUAAUGCGUUCAGCUAACUGAUACUAAUUGCCCGUAAGGCUUGAUCCUAUAACA